CCUCAGCAUUAGAUCCUUUUAAAGUCACCGUAAAGGAAAUUAUUGAUGUUUCAUUUAUAGGGUGCAUUUUAGGGCACAUGAUUAUGCAGUCAAAGUCGUUGUCGAUAGCGCUAAUAUACUUUUUCGUUAUAUUGUGAACUUUGUUCAAAGCUUGAUCUUAGUUUGAUUCCCUGCUGUUGAAACCAACAUUUUUUGACCAUACGUUUAUCGUCAACCUUUCAACUCUAUGUUUACUAACUUUAAGAUGACGAGGCGAAUCAUAUUGAUUGUGUGCGUGCGCGUGUUCUAGCCAACACUUUUUUCACGAGGGCCGUCAGUGUGAUAGUUAAACUUUGCGCCACGUGCUGGCAGUACCAAGUAAUUACGAACUGCACUGCAAAAAAAUCACGAUUUGGUAUUGCUACAUGUAGCUAGUCAACAAAUAGUUUAUCUGGGCAAGAGCAUGCUUUAUUCGUUAGACAUACUCAGCUCAUGCAAACAGGUGUUUGUGUGGUAAGCCACUUCUGUGGCUUUUGGUCCAAAGAUCUUCAAUUUUGAAGCCAUGGAUUGUUUGAAACGACCGAAGCCAGACGUAAUUACACGAACAGCGUUUGAAAUAGGCAGCGCAAAUUCUUCCCAGCAAGAACAAUGUGCAUGCAGAGAAAAAUAACAGUUAGGAGAAGUGUGGCAUGCAGACGACGAAAGGAAGUAAUUAUUUCUGAAACACAGUCAUGGGAGAGAAGGGAAAGGUGCCUGGAUUAAGGGCCCUAAUUCAAACUGAUUAAUUUCAGCAUUAGUGCCUCAGUCUGAAAUAAUAAAGGACUCCCUGCUAUAAAGAACCUGA
Long non-coding RNA from Anguilla rostrata (American eel), 823 nucleotides. RefSeq lists it as uncharacterized. NCBI's taxonomy places the organism in Eukaryota, Metazoa, Chordata, Actinopteri, Anguilliformes, Anguillidae. The transcript has 2 exons. The record is from RefSeq and is a predicted model, not a curated record.